Molecule: long non-coding RNA, 1138 nt
Organism: Hermetia illucens (black soldier fly)
Lineage: Eukaryota; Metazoa; Arthropoda; Insecta; Diptera; Stratiomyidae
Exons: 2
Source: RefSeq, a predicted model, not a curated record
GUAUUACUAGAUUUGCAAAAGCUCACCGAUCUCUCUUUUACCAAUACGAUUUGAGGAAGAUUAUGCCUUUUCUUUGUUUAGUGUCUCUGAUGUGCAGUGCAUUCGCAAGUCGGGUCAUUUUAGUGUGGGUACUGCCUAUAGUAGAUCUCUGUGCCUAGGGUAUAAUUGAUGCAAAUGGAUGGGUCGACAUUCCAUCCACAAUGUCGCUCGCAUCGUUAAUUACAAUCAAAAUGUCACUUUGACACGGUUCGUUCUGAUAUCAGAUCGUCUCCUUCGGAAUUAAGCGUUUUAGUUUUAGUUUUCUGCAGAUAGCAGGUUGUGGGCUGGGAUACGAUCAACCCUUCUUCGUGGCGGAUUUUUUUUAAAUAAUUAGUUUCCUUCCAAGUUGGUACAUGAAUGGGUGUAUUAUACAAGUUUCGAAUAUGUUUCAAAAACGAAAGGUGAUUUCGAUGAUUUUUUUUUUAUUUUAGUCUUAUCUUGGGCCAUUGUACCGUUAUCCGUCAUCAAAUCGCGGGGCAUCGAAGACCGCGUUCCCCCCCAAUUAUUAGCUUAAUAAUUUUUAAUUUUGCAAGUCCCUACCACAUCAGGGCAAAAUCAAAAAUGCCUGCUGUAAAGGAAGGGAUUUUCAGUGAGAUAUCAUAUACGGUGAUCGCAGGCAACGUAUUCAUAAACAUAUGUAAAACGGGAAAUUUACUUGUUUAAGCGAAUAUCGUAAACCUCGGUAAACUGCGGCAUCGUUUAUUACUGACCCUUGUCACCAAGUGUGGAAAAGCUAGGGAUUGCGGGACUUCUACUUCCAACCUCAAUUGUAAAUAUCUGCCCAAAGUCCUGAUUUGAACCCUAUCGAACAUGCUUGGGACCACUUGGAGAGAAAGUUGCAUUCUAUCCGCCUCACAGACAAAACCCAAUCGAAACAGCGGCUGAUGUUAGAAUGAAAUGCAAUUUCCACCAAAUAUAUUGACAAAUAGAUUAUGGAAAGGGAAUAUUUUACAUUCAUUUGUUUAUCUAACCUUGCAUUCAAUUUAUUGGAACCAGUUUGGGGCCAGCGAAAAGAAUUUUGAGAAUAUCUUUCAAUAUACUAACACCAUACAUAUGAUUUUCAACUGAAUCAACAAAACAAUAUAAGUAUAAUCGAUUA